AGUGAACGCUGGCGGUAGGCCUAACACACGCAAGUCGAACGGCAGCACAGAGGAGCUUGCUCCUUGGGUGGCGAGUGGCGGACGGGUGAGGAAUACAUCGGAAUCUCAUCUGUCGUGGGGGAUAACGUAGGGAAACUUACGCCAAUACCGCAUACGACCUACGGGUGAAAGCAGGGGACCUUCGGGCCUUGCGCGAUUGAAUGAGCCGAUGUCGGGUUAGCUAGUUGGCGGGGUAAAGGCCCACCAAGGCGACGAUCCGUAGCUGGUCUGAGAGGAUGAUAAGCCACACUGGAACUGAGACACGGUCCAGACUCCUACGGGAGGCAGCAGUGGGGAAUAUUGGACGAUGGGCGCAAGCCUGAUCCAGCCAUACCGCGUGGGUGAAGAAGGCCUUCGGGUUGUAAAGCCCUUUUGUUGGGAAAGAAAUCCGGCUGGCUAAUACCCGGUUGGGAUGACGGUACCCAAAGAAUAAGCACCGGCUAACUUCGUGCCAGCCGCCGCGGUAA
This 506-nucleotide ribosomal RNA is filed under the name uncultured bacterium. Its description in RNAcentral is "partial 16S ribosomal RNA". It matches the Rfam family "Bacterial small subunit ribosomal RNA", at positions 29 to 523 of the family's 1533-position model. The record is from RNAcentral.